This 205-nucleotide non-coding RNA is filed under the name Clostridium tetanomorphum. RNAcentral's name for it is "T-box sequence". It matches the Rfam family "T-box leader". Rfam says of the family: Uncharged tRNA acts as the effector for transcription antitermination of genes in the T-box leader family. T-boxes are found upstream of many aminoacyl-tRNA synthetase genes and some amino acid biosynthetic genes usually in Gram-positive bacteria. The anticodon of a specific tRNA base pairs to a specifier sequence within the T-box motif, and the NCCA acceptor tail of the tRNA base pairs to a conserved bulge in the T-box antiterminator hairpin. Lineage: Bacteria; Bacillati; Bacillota; Clostridia; Eubacteriales; Clostridiaceae. The record is from RNAcentral.
UUUGAAGUUGUGAAAGGCAGUAGUAAAUAAUCUUUCAUUUUCAGAGAGCCGAUGCUUGGUGAAAAUCGGUAAUGAAGGUUGUUGAAUCCGGCCUGGAACUGUAUAGGGGUAAAAAACCUAUACCGGACUAAUUCCGUUAAAAUUAAGAGACUACUUGCAAGUAGUAAAAUAAGGUGGUACCACGUGGAAAUUCCCCGUCCUUAGC